Labrus bergylta (ballan wrasse) is the source of this 336-nucleotide non-coding RNA. Lineage: Eukaryota; Metazoa; Chordata; Actinopteri; Labriformes; Labridae. The record is from RefSeq and is a predicted model, not a curated record.
ACAAGAUUUUCCUCAAACUCUUAGUGAUUCAACUGAGAGUAAUGUGGAAGAAUUCAAUGAUGAGGAUUCCACAAAGGACCAUUCCGAUGUGCAAUCAGACAUUGAAGUUGUUCCAAAGCUGAGAAGGACAGAAAGCAUUCAGAUGAAAAAAGUUCCAGAUUUUUCUGAUGCCCUCUAUGAUUCAAGUGAUGACAGUGCAGAGGGCCCAUCUAAGUCUGAGAUGGCUUCACAAAGGCCAAGGAGAGGCUGUUACUGUCCUAUUCAAAAGAUUCUUGUAGGAUCAGAUGCCUCAAGUGUAGACAGCGAAGAAGAGUAUAUUCCAGGUCCAAUGGAGGA